This 491-nucleotide ribosomal RNA is filed under the name uncultured bacterium. RNAcentral's name for it is "partial 16S ribosomal RNA". It matches the Rfam family "Bacterial small subunit ribosomal RNA", at positions 28 to 507 of the family's 1533-position model. The record is from RNAcentral.
GAUGAACGCUGGCUACAGGCUUAACACAUGCAAGUCGAGGGGAAACGACGGGGAAGCUUGCUUCCCCGGGCGUCGACCGGCGCACGGGUGAGUAACGCGUAUCCAACCUGCCUCUGACUGAGGGAUAACCCGUCGAAAGUCGGCCUAAUACCUCAUGGCAUCGUCUGCGGGCAUCCAACGACGAUUAAAGAUUUCAUCGGUCAGAGAUGGGGAUGCGUCUGAUUAGCUUGUUGGCGGGGUAACGGCCCACCAAGGCGACGAUCAGUAGGGGUUCUGAGAGGAAGGUCCCCCACAUUGGAACUGAGACACGGUCCAAACUCCUACGGGAGGCAGCAGUGAGGAAUAUUGGUCAAUGGGCGAGAGCCUGAACCAGCCAAGUAGCGUGCAGGAUGACGGCCCUAUGGGUUGUAAACUGCUUUUGUGCGGGGAUAAAGUGAGGGACGUGUCCUUCAUUGCAGGUACCGCAUGAAUAAGGACCGGCUAAUUCCGUG